RNAcentral lists this ribosomal RNA (825 nucleotides) under Lactiplantibacillus plantarum. RNAcentral describes it as "bacterial SSU rRNA". It matches the Rfam family "Bacterial small subunit ribosomal RNA", at positions 617 to 1442 of the family's 1533-position model. Lineage: Bacteria; Bacillati; Bacillota; Bacilli; Lactobacillales; Lactobacillaceae. The record is from RNAcentral.
AGAAGUGCAUCGGAAACUGGGAAACUUGAGUGCAGAAGAGGACAGUGGAACUCCAUGUGUAGCGGUGAAAUGCGUAGAUAUAUGGAAGAACACCAGUGGCGAAGGCGGCUGUCUGGUCUGUAACUGACGCUGAGGCUCGAAAGUAUGGGUAGCAAACAGGAUUAGAUACCCUGGUAGUCCAUACCGUAAACGAUGAAUGCUAAGUGUUGGAGGGUUUCCGCCCUUCAGUGCUGCAGCUAACGCAUUAAGCAUUCCGCCUGGGGAGUACGGCCGCAAGGCUGAAACUCAAAGGAAUUGACGGGGGCCCGCACAAGCGGUGGAGCAUGUGGUUUAAUUCGAAGCUACGCGAAGAACCUUACCAGGUCUUGACAUACUAUGCAAAUCUAAGAGAUUAGACGUUCCCUUCGGGGACAUGGAUACAGGUGGUGCAUGGUUGUCGUCAGCUCGUGUCGUGAGAUGUUGGGUUAAGUCCCGCAACGAGCGCAACCCUUAUUAUCAGUUGCCAGCAUUAAGUUGGGCACUCUGGUGAGACUGCCGGUGACAAACCGGAGGAAGGUGGGGAUGACGUCAAAUCAUCAUGCCCCUUAUGACCUGGGCUACACACGUGCUACAAUGGAUGGUACAACGAGUUGCGAACUCGCGAGAGUAAGCUAAUCUCUUAAAGCCAUUCUCAGUUCGGAUUGUAGGCUGCAACUCGCCUACAUGAAGUCGGAAUCGCUAGUAAUCGCGGAUCAGCAUGCCGCGGUGAAUACGUUCCCGGGCCUUGUACACACCGCCCGUCACACCAUGAGAGUUUGUAACACCCAAAGUCGGUGGGGUAACCUC